Molecule: ribosomal RNA, 402 nt
Filed under: uncultured bacterium
Lineage: Bacteria
Description: bacterial SSU rRNA
Rfam family: Bacterial small subunit ribosomal RNA
Source: RNAcentral
UGGGGAAUAUUGCACAAUGGGGGAAACCCUGAUGCAGCGACGCCGCGUGGAGGAAGAAGGUCUUCGGAUUGUAAACUCCUGUCUUCGGGGACGAUAAUGACGGUACCCGAGGAGGAAGCAGUGGCUAACUCUGUGCCAGCAGCCGCGGUAAUACAGAGACUGCAAGCGUUACUCGGAUUCACUGGGCGUAAAGGGAGCGCAGGCGGAAUCGUGUGUCGGAUGUGAAACCCGGGGGCUCAACUCCCGGACUGCGUCUGAAACUGCGAUUCUAGGGACUCGGAGGGGCCAGUGGAAUUCUUGGUGGAGCAGUGAAAUGCGUAGAUAUCAAGAGGAACACCAACGGCGAAGGCAGCUGGCUGGACGAGAUCCGACGCUCAGGCUCGAAAGUAUGGGGAGCAAAAA